Small nuclear RNA from Cynocephalus volans (Philippine flying lemur), 105 nucleotides. Lineage: Eukaryota; Metazoa; Chordata; Mammalia; Dermoptera; Cynocephalidae. The record is from RefSeq and is a predicted model, not a curated record.
UGCUCGCUUCGGCAGCAGCUUACUAAAACUAGAACGAUACAGAGAAGAUUAGCACGGCCGCUGCGCAAAGAUGACAUGCAAAUUCAUGAAGUGUUCCAUAAAGAA